GACGAACGCUGGCGGCGUGCUUAACACAUGCAAGUCGAACGGUGAAGGGACUGGUUUUGCUGGUCCUGGAUGAGUGGCGAACGGGUGAGUAACACGUGAGUAACCUGCCCCCUUCUUCUGGAUAACCGCAUGAAAGUGUGGCUAAUACGGGAUAUUCUGGGUCUGUCGCAUGGUGGGCCUGGGAAAGAUUGCGCCUUUUUUGGUGUUUUUGGUGUGGGGUGGGCUCGCGGCCUAUCAGCUUGUUGGUGGGGUGAUGGCCUACCAAGGCGGUGACGGGUAGCCGGCCUGAGAGGGUGGACGGUCACACUGGGACUGAGACACGGCCCAGACUCCUACGGGAGGCAGCAGUGGGGAAUAUUGCACAAUGGGCGCAAGCCUGAUGCAGCGACGCCGCGUGAGGGAUGGAGGCCUUCGGGUUGUGAACCUCUUUCGCCAGUGAAGCAGGCCUGCCUCUUUUUGUGGGUGGGUUGACGGUAGCUGGAUAAGAAGCGCCGGCUAACUACGUG
Molecule: ribosomal RNA, 506 nt
Filed under: uncultured bacterium
Lineage: Bacteria
Description: partial 16S ribosomal RNA
Rfam family: Bacterial small subunit ribosomal RNA
Source: RNAcentral